Molecule: ribosomal RNA, 253 nt
Filed under: uncultured bacterium
Lineage: Bacteria
Description: partial 16S ribosomal RNA
Rfam family: Bacterial small subunit ribosomal RNA
Source: RNAcentral
GACGAACCGUGCGAACGUUGUUCGGAAUCACUGGGCUUAAAGGGCGCGUAGGCGGGUCUUCAAGUCCGGGGUGAAAGCCCACGGCUCAACCGUGGAAGCGCCUUGGAUACUGGAGAUCUCGAGGGAGGUAGGGGCGUGCGGAACUUCCGGUGGAGCGGUGAAAUGCGUAGAUAUCGGAAGGAACACCGGUGGCGAAAGCGGCGCGCUGGACCUCUUCUGACGCUGAGGCGCGAAAGCCAGGGGAGCAAACGGG